This 253-nucleotide ribosomal RNA is filed under the name uncultured bacterium. Its description in RNAcentral is "partial 16S ribosomal RNA". It matches the Rfam family "Bacterial small subunit ribosomal RNA", at positions 524 to 776 of the family's 1533-position model. The record is from RNAcentral.
UACGGAGGGUGCAAGCGUUAUCCGGAUUCACUGGGUUUAAAGGGUGCGUAGGCGGGCAGAUAAGUCAGUGGUGAAAUACCUGAGCUUAACUUGGGAACUGCCAUUGAUACUAUUUGUCUUGAAUGUCGUGGAGGUUAGCGGAAUAUGUCAUGUAGCGGUGAAAUGCUUAGAGAUGACAUAGAACACCUAUUGCGAAGGCAGCUAACUACGCGAAUAUUGACGCUGAGGCACGAAAGCGUGGGGAGCGAACAGG